This 150-nucleotide ribosomal RNA is filed under the name uncultured Weissella sp. RNAcentral describes it as "partial 16S ribosomal RNA". It matches the Rfam family "Bacterial small subunit ribosomal RNA", at positions 382 to 525 of the family's 1533-position model. The record is from RNAcentral. Lineage: Bacteria; Bacillati; Bacillota; Bacilli; Lactobacillales; Lactobacillaceae.
CCUGAUGGAGCACGCCGCGUGUGUGAUGAAGGGUUUCGGCUCGUAAAACACUGUUGUAAGAGAAGAAUGACAUUGAGAGUAACUGUUCAAUGUGUGACGGUAUCUUACCAGAAAGGAACGGCUAAAUACGUGCCAGCAGCCGCGGUAAUA